RNAcentral lists this ribosomal RNA (253 nucleotides) under uncultured bacterium. Its description in RNAcentral is "partial 16S ribosomal RNA". It matches the Rfam family "Bacterial small subunit ribosomal RNA", at positions 524 to 776 of the family's 1533-position model. The record is from RNAcentral.
UACGGGGGGGGCAAGCGUUGUUCGGAAUUACUGGGCGUAAAGGGCGCGUAGGCGGUCUGCUAAGUUGGGUGUGAAAACUCUGGGCUUAACCCAGAGCCUGCACUCAAAACUGACAGUCUAGAGUUCUGGAGGGGAUAGCGGAAUUCCUGGUGUAGCGGUGAAAUGCGUAGAUAUCAGGAGGAACACCGGUGGCGAAGGCGGCUAUCUGGACAGAGUCUGACGCUGAGGCGCGAAAGCUAGGGGAGCAAACAGG